GCUGAGAAACGGCUACCACAUCCAAGGAAGGCAGCAGGCGCGCAAAUUACCCACUCCCGGCACGGGGAGGUAGUGACGAAAAAUAACGAUGCGAGAGCUUUUAGCUUUUCGUAAUCGGAAUGGGUACACUUUAAAUCCUUUAACGAGGAUCUAUUGGAGGGCAAGUCUGGUGCCAGCAGCCGCGGUAAUUCCAGCUCCAAUAGCGUAUAUUAAAGUUGCUGCGGUUAAAAAGCUCGUAGUUGGAUCCGGGCAGUCGACGCGCGGUGCGCUUUACGGCGUUACUGCGUGCUCGUCGCCACUAUCCGGCCUUGUCUUUCAUGUUCUUUACUGAGCGUGAUCGGCGACCGGGACGUUUACUUUGAAAAAAUUAGAGUGCUUAAAGCAGGCAUAUGGCCUUGCAUAAUGGUGCAUGGAAUAAUGGAAUAGGACCUCGGUUCUAUUUUGUUGGUUUUCGGAGCUCGAGGUAAUGAUUAAGAGGAACAGACGGGGACAUUCGUAUUGCGGCGUUAGAGGUGAAAUUCUUGGAUCGUCGCAAGACGAACUACUGCGAAAGCAUUUGUCAAGAGUGUUUUCAUUAAUCAAGAUCGAAAGUUAGAGGUUCGAAGACGAUCAGAUACCGCCCUAGUUCUAACCAUAAACGAUGCCAACCAGCGAUCCGUCGGUGUUCAUUCAAUGACUCGACGGGCAGCUUCCGGGAAACCAAAGUGCUUAGGUUCCGGGGGAAGUAUGGUUGCAAAGCUGAAACUUAAAGGAAUUGACGGAAGGGCACCACCAGGAGUGGAGCCUGCGGCUUAAUUUGACCCAACACGGGAAAACUUACCCGGCCCGGACACUGUAAGGAUUGACAGAUUGAGAGCUCUUUCUUGAUUCGGUGGUUGGUGGUGCAUGGCCGUUCUUAGUUGGUGGAGCGAUUUGUCUGGUUAAUUCCGAUAACGAACGAGACUCUAGCCCGCUAAAUAGCCAACUGAUCCGCUGCGUCGGUUGCUAUAAGCUUCUUAGAGGGACAGGCGACGUUUAGUCGCACGAGAUUGAGCAAUAACAGGUCUGUGGUGCCCUUAGAUGCCCGGGGCCGCACGCGCGCUACACUGGUUGAAGCAGCUGGCAUUACGUCUAGGUCGAAAGGCCCGGAAAAUCCGCUGAAACUCAACCGUGAUUGGGAUUGAGCUUUGUAACUAUCGCUCAUGAACGAGGAAUUCCCAGUAAGCGCGAGUCAUAAGCUCGCGUUGAUUACGUCCCUGCCCUUUGUACACACCGCCCGUCGCUACUACCGAUUGAAUGAAUUAGUGAGGACUUCGGACCGGACAUCGCGGCUGUCGCAAGAUGGCUGCGGCUGGCUGGGAAGAUGUCCAAACUGGCUCAUUUAGAGG
This 1367-nucleotide ribosomal RNA is filed under the name metagenome. Its description in RNAcentral is "SSU rRNA". It matches the Rfam family "Eukaryotic small subunit ribosomal RNA", at positions 394 to 1779 of the family's 1831-position model. The record is from RNAcentral.